This 361-nucleotide transfer-messenger RNA is filed under the name Aerococcaceae. Its description in RNAcentral is "DSM-111022 sp015863215 Standard tmRNA". It matches the Rfam family "transfer-messenger RNA". From Rfam's summary of the family: Bacterial tmRNA, also known as 10Sa RNA or SsrA, is named for its dual tRNA and mRNA-like properties. Its role is to liberate the mRNA from a stalled ribosome. RNAcentral also lists the same sequence under 2 other names. The record is from RNAcentral. Lineage: Bacteria; Bacillati; Bacillota; Bacilli; Lactobacillales.
GGGGAUGUUCCGGUUUCGACAGGCUUUAUUCGGCUCCCCGAUGCGCUAGGAAGGUUGCGACUACCUAAAAACGCUACAGUUAAAUAUAACUGCAAACAAAACAAACAAUUUAGCUUUAGCAGCCUAAAAACUGCGAGUUAAGAUCAGUCCGGUAUCGCCCAUGUACCGGGGCACUGGUCUCAAAUUAGUGGGAUACGAAUAACUAUUCCGUCUGCAUAGUUAUUAAGAGACGAUCAGACUCGCGACCAUUGAUGCACGUUUAUCUGCUAGAUGGAAGCCAAAUUAAAUCGAUAAACUAUUAGCGUAGAUUCGGUUAGUACGAGAGGUUUGGACAGGGGUUCGAUUCCCCUCAUCUCCAUUA